Molecule: ribosomal RNA, 878 nt
Filed under: uncultured soil bacterium
Lineage: Bacteria
Description: bacterial SSU rRNA
Rfam family: Bacterial small subunit ribosomal RNA
Source: RNAcentral
AGAGUUUGAUCCUGGCUCAGAGCGAACGCUGGCGGCGUGCUUAACACAUGCAAGUCGAGUGCGCGUCUGUAGCAAUACAGAUGGCGCACGGCGCACGGGUGCGUAACACGUGGGCAAUCUGCCCUCGGAUGGGGGAUAACUCGCCGAAAGGCGAGCUAAUACCGCAUGACAUUCCCGGGACUCCGGUCCUGGGACUCAAAGGCCGCAAGGCCGUCUGAGGAGGAGCCCGCGCCCGAUUAGCUAGUUGGUGAGGUAACGGCUCACCAAGGCUUUGAUCGGUAGCCGGUCUGAGAGGAUGGCCGGCCACACUGGAACUGAGACACGGUCCAGACUCCUACGGGAGGCAGCAGUGGGGAAUAUUGCGCAAUGGGCGAAAGCCUGACGCAGCGACGCCGCGUGGGGGAUGAAGCUUUUCGGAGUGUAAACCCCUUUCGACCCGGACGAAUGACCCGCAAGGGUUUGACGGUACGGGUAUAAGAAGCCCCGGCUAACUACGUGCCAGCAGCCGCGGUAAUACGUAGGGGGCCAGCGUUGCUCGGAAUUACUGGGCGUAAAGGGUUCGUAGGUGGUGCGGCAAGUUGGAAGUGAAAUCUCUGGGCUUAACCCAGAGGCUGCUUUCAAAACUGCCGCGCUCGAGUGCGAGAGAGGUCAGUGGAAUUGCAGGUGUAGCGGUGAAAUGCGUAGAUAUCUGCAGGAACACCCGUGGCGAAGGCGGCUGACUGGAUCGCAACUGACACUGAGGAACGAAAGCUAGGGGAGCAAACAGGAUUAGAUACCCUGGUAGUCCUAGCCCUAAACCAUCGGAACUUGGGGUGGCCCGCGUAGGCGGGUCGUCCCGUAGCUAACGCGUUAAGUUCCGCGCCUGGGGAGUACGGUCG